Molecule: long non-coding RNA, 597 nt
Organism: Bombus pascuorum
Lineage: Eukaryota; Metazoa; Arthropoda; Insecta; Hymenoptera; Apidae
Exons: 3
Source: RefSeq, a predicted model, not a curated record
AUCCAUCCAACGAUUCGACUCAGUGCAAGUAAGUAAACGGAGGGGCGUACUCACAAUCUUCAGAUACUAUAAUUUUCUGGGCGUCGUCUGUGUCAUAAACUCGAGAAGUCGAGGCAAGUCCUAUAAUAUAACAAUGCUCCAUGCAUUCUUUGUAUCAGCUUUUUCCGUGGAUUAGCAGCUGAGGAAACUCCAGUUGGUCCAGAUACCCAAAUUGGUCUACCUCCACAUGUGGAUGAUUGUUCAACAUCCUGUGUUGUUAACGAUUGUAAAAUCCGUUAUCCCGCCCCUUAUAUCUGUAUUACUCUCAGAGGACGUUCCUUUUUGAUGAAAAGGUGGCUGUAGAUAAUCCAUAUCAAACGAGAAUAUGUUUUCUUUUGACGAAGACAUACACAAGCUUAAAUGUGAAGAAAUUUAAUAAAGUGAAAUCGAAUAAACAAUAAUCAUAUUAUUAAAACACAUAAAUACAAUAAUUAGAAUAAAUCAUGCAUAAUCGUUAUCAAAUUGAGAUUACAGUAAUAUUUCUGAUGAAAUGUAAUAAUUUUUAGUGUAAUAUCGAAAAUCGCAACUCUAUGGGAUGUAAAUUUUGGCGUUUAUAAG